RNAcentral lists this ribosomal RNA (497 nucleotides) under uncultured bacterium. RNAcentral describes it as "partial 16S ribosomal RNA". It matches the Rfam family "Bacterial small subunit ribosomal RNA", at positions 28 to 507 of the family's 1533-position model. The record is from RNAcentral.
GAUGAACGCUGGCGGCGUGCCUAAUACAUGCGAGUCGAGCGAACGGACGAGAAGCUUGCUUCUCUGAUGUUAGCGGCGGACGGGUGAGUAACACGUGGAUAACCUACCUAUAAGACCGGGAUAACUUCGGGAAACCGGAGCUAAUACCGGAUAAUAUUUUGAACCGCAUGGUUCAAAAGUGAAAGACGGUCUUGCUGUCACUUAUAGACGGAUCCGCGCUGCAUUAGCUAGUUGGUAAGGUAACGGCUUACCAAGGCAACGAUGCAUAGCCGACCUGAGAGGGUGAUCGGCCACACUGGAACUGAGACACGGUCCAGACUCCUACGGGAGGCAGCAGUAGGGAAUCUUCCGCAAUGGGCGAAAGCCUGACGGAGCAACGCCGCGUGAGUGAUGAAGGUCUUCGGAUCGUAAAACUCUGUUAUUAGGGAAGAACAUAUGUGUAAGUAACUGUGCACAUCUUGACGGUACCUAAUCAGAAAGCCACGGCUAACUACGUG